ACAUUUGUGAUUCAGUGGUAGAAUUCUUGCCUCCCAUGCUGGAGGCCUGGGUUCAAUUCCUGGCCAAUGUA
RNAcentral lists this transfer RNA (71 nucleotides) under Loxodonta africana (African savanna elephant). It matches the Rfam family "tRNA". From Rfam's summary of the family: Transfer RNA (tRNA) molecules are approximately 80 nucleotides in length. Their secondary structure includes four short double-helical elements and three loops (D, anti-codon, and T loops). The record is from Rfam by way of RNAcentral. Lineage: Eukaryota; Metazoa; Chordata; Mammalia; Proboscidea; Elephantidae.